Molecule: long non-coding RNA, 2012 nt
Organism: Eriocheir sinensis (Chinese mitten crab)
Lineage: Eukaryota; Metazoa; Arthropoda; Malacostraca; Decapoda; Varunidae
Exons: 2
Source: RefSeq, a predicted model, not a curated record
UAGUAGUAGUAGUAGUAGUAGUAGUAGUAGUAGCAGUAGUAGUAGCAGUAGUAGUAGUAGUAGUGGUGGUGGUGGUGGUGGUGAUUUCACUCCGCAACUAGUAAAAUUCUAUGUCCAGUACAUCAGGGAGGUAAAAGAACACAAAACAUAAGUGGCCGUGGUGAGCAAAUCAGGGAAGUAAAGUGACGGAACAAGCCGAGGCAGCAAAACUAUAUAGUCGCCGCGGGCAAGUCAGUCACUUCGGGGACUCGCCAUUCGCGCCAAUCCCGGACAGAAUCUUGGCGGCUCAGUCUCCUUCCUUCGCGCUGUUAACUUCCUUCUUUUGUCCCGCCACUUUCCUUCCUUCCCUCCUUCCUUCCUUCCUUCCUUCCCUCGUCCUGUCAUCUUCCUCCUUCCUUCCUUCGUCCUGUCACCUUCCCUCCUUCCUUCCCUUUGUCACCUUCCUUCGGCCUUCGUCCUGCCAUCCUUGACACCCAACAAAAACGGGUUCCGGCGCCUUCACUGUAUUUUCGAUUGAUUUGAUAUUAAUCCCGUCUGGAAUUUUAAGAGGUUCAUCUUGCUAUCCACCCUCCUCGCUUCGCGGGGCUGGGGAGCGUCAGGGGGCCCAAGGCCUUCCUGGCGAGCGUCGCAGGGCUCAGGGUUCCGGCAGGGCGCCUCGGCUCCCCCGGAGCGUCCACCUCCGUGUCGGAGAUCCCGAGGGUCCGGGGUUGGGGGGGCGUGAAGUGGCAGCAAGACAGUUCCUGACCUCUUACUAGCCAGACGACACGUUCAUGACACGAUUCAGUGAAGUCUGGACGCUUAGGGAUGCACAAUUCCCCUAAGCAAGGCAAGUGUCAUGAAAUCACCGAUAAAAAACGAGAAAACACAAAAAAAUCAAAAAAAUCCAAAAAUACCAAAAAAAGUUGUCUUGUUUUGCUUUGUUUAAAGCGUCUUGUAUGUUGGUAUGGCGGGUCUUUUCUGGGGAGAAGGAGACUCACGCGUUCCAACAUACAAAACCAGGAAAAGUCGAUACGGAAACACCAAGAGAAGGAAAGCAUAGAAAGGAACAUCAGAAAAAAGGAUAACGCAGAGAAGGAACAUCAGAAAAAGGAUAACGAAGAGAAGUAACAUCAGAAGGAAAAGGAAAAUAGAAAAACUCAUCCACCUUUCGGCCCAAACCAACAACACAAAAUUAUGGGCGAGUCUCUUCUGGGAGGAAAGCGGCUCGUUCAGACCAGGAACACCAGAAAGGAUGAUAGUAAUAUUAAGAAAAGGAAAAGAGAAAAAAAUCAUCCACCUUUCGGCCCAAACCAACAUCACAAAAUUAUGGGCGAGUCUCUUCUGGGAGGAAAGCGGCUCGUUCAGACCAGGAACACCAGAAAGGAUGAUAGAAACAUCAAUAAAAGGAAUACGUUCAGACCAGGAACACUAGAAAGGAUGAUAGAAACAUUAAGAAAAGGAAAAUAAAAAGUCACCCAGCUUUCGGCCCCUGGGGCCGCAGGGCGGGCGACGGGUGAAUCUCCUCUGGGGAGAAGGAGACUAACCCAGACCGUCACGAAAAAAUAGAAAAAGGAAAUUAAAACAUCGAGAAAGGAAACUGAAAUUACAUCAAGAAAAUUAAUAAAGUCAUCCAGCUUUCGGCCCCUGGGGCCGCAGGGUGAGUGACGGGUGAGUCUCUUCUGGGGAGAAGGAGGCUAACCCAACCCAGACCGUCAAGAAAAGAAGAAAGAGAAAUUAAAACAUCGAGAAAAGAAAAUGAACUACAACAUCUAGCAAAUAAAUAAAAAGUCAUCCAGCUUUCGGCCCCUGGGGCCGCAGGAUGGGUGACGGGUGAGUCUCUUCUGGGGAGAAGGAGGCUCAUCCACACCCAGCAACACCAACAGAUGGAAAAGAAAAGAAAACAUCCAGAGAAAAGAAAAGGAUAGGAAAGAAUAUAAAACAUCCAGAGAAAAUAAAAGAAAAGAAAAGGAAAGAAAACAUCCAGAGAAAAGAAAAGAAAAGAAAUCAUCCUGAAAAAAGAAAAGAAAAGCAAA